AAUGAACGCUGGCGGCGUGCUUAACACAUGCAAGUCGAGCGAGGCCAGGGGGGCAACUCCCUGAGUCGAGCGGCGGACGGGUGAGUAACACGUGGGUAACCUACCCGGAAGUGGGGAGUACCUCGGGGAAACUCGAGCUAAUACCGCAUGACAUCUUUGGGACGAAAGUCCUGACGAUCAAAGCGGGGUCGCAAGAUCUCGCGCUACCGGAUGGGCCCGCGCCCGAUUAGCUAGUUGGUGAGGAACGGCUCACCAAGGCGACGAUCGGUAACCGGCCUGAGAGGGCGAUCGGUCACACCGGAACUGAGACACGGUCCGGACUCCUACGGGAGGCAGCAGUGGGGAAUCUUGCGCAAUGGGCGAAAGCCUGACGCAGCAACGCCGCGUGGAGGAUGAAGGCCCUUGGGUUGUAAACUCCUGUCGGCUGGGAAGAAGUUGUUCGCGACUAAUACUCGCGGACAUUGACUGUACCAGCAAAGGAAGCCCC
This 487-nucleotide ribosomal RNA is filed under the name uncultured bacterium. Its description in RNAcentral is "bacterial SSU rRNA". It matches the Rfam family "Bacterial small subunit ribosomal RNA", at positions 29 to 494 of the family's 1533-position model. The record is from RNAcentral.